AACGAACGCUGGCGGCGUGGAUAAGACAUGCAAGUCGAACGGGACAUUGCUUGUAGCAAUACAAGUAAUGUCCAGUGGCGCAAGGGUGUGUAACACGUGGGCAAUCUACCGAAAAGUGGGGAAUAGCUCGCCGAAAGGCGAAUUAAUACCGCAUGUGGCCAAGGAAGACCUCUUCUGGCAGCCAAAGCUGGGGCAACCUAGCGCUUUUUGAUGAGCCCGCGGCCUAUCAGCUAGUUGGCGGGGUAACGGCCCACCAAGGCUAUGACGGGUAGCUGGUCUGAGAGGACGACCAGCCACACUGGAACUGAGACACGGUCCAGACACCUACGGGUGGCAGCAGUCGAGAAUUUUUCUUCAAUAGGGGAAACCCGUAGAAGGAGCGACGCCGCGUGGAGGAUGAAGGUCUUCGGAUUUGUAAACUCCUGUCAUUCGAGAACAAGGCCUGCGAAGUAACUGUCGUCAGGCUCGAUAGUAUCGAAAGAGGAAGGGAC
This 491-nucleotide ribosomal RNA is filed under the name uncultured bacterium. Its description in RNAcentral is "bacterial SSU rRNA". It matches the Rfam family "Bacterial small subunit ribosomal RNA", at positions 29 to 494 of the family's 1533-position model. The record is from RNAcentral.